RNAcentral lists this ribosomal RNA (514 nucleotides) under uncultured bacterium. Its description in RNAcentral is "partial 16S ribosomal RNA". It matches the Rfam family "Bacterial small subunit ribosomal RNA", at positions 29 to 523 of the family's 1533-position model. The record is from RNAcentral.
AGCGAACGCUGGCGGCGUGCUUAACACAUGCAAGUCGAACGUGAAAUGUAGCAAUACAGAGUAAAGUGGCGUACGGGUGAGUAACACGUGGGUAAUCUACCAAAGAGCCUGGAAUAACCGACCGAAAGGUUGGCUAAUACUGGAUAGUUCAAAUGAACUAUAAUGUUUCGAUUGGGAAAGGGAGCGAGCAAUCGGCUUCACUUUUUGAUGAGCCCGCGUCUGAUUAGCUAGUUGGUAGGGUAAUGGCCUACCAAGGCGACGAUCAGUAGCCGGUCUGAGAGGAUGAUCAGCCACACUGGAACUGAAACACGGUCCAGACUCCUACGGGAGGCAGCAGUGGGGAAUCUUGCGCAAUGGACGAAAGUCUGACGCAGCCACGCCGCGUGAGUGAAGAAGGCCUUCGGGUUGUAAAGCUCUGUCGGAAGGGACAAAAACGUUUAAGGUUAAUAGCCUUAGAUCUUGAUGGUACCUUCAAAGGAAGCACCGGCUAACUUCGUGCCAGCCGCCGCCGUAA